This 519-nucleotide ribosomal RNA is filed under the name uncultured eukaryote. Its description in RNAcentral is "SSU rRNA". It matches the Rfam family "Eukaryotic small subunit ribosomal RNA", at positions 1161 to 1702 of the family's 1831-position model. The record is from RNAcentral.
AGGGCACCACCAGGAGUGGAGCCUGCGGCUUAAUUUGACUCAACACGGGAAAACUCACCCGGCCCGGACACCGUGAGGAUUGACAGAUUGAUAGCUUUUUCAUGAUUCGGUGGUUGGUGGUGCAUGGCCGUUCUUAGUUCGUGGAUCGAUUUGUCUGGUUUAUUCCGAUAACGAGCGAGACUCCAGCCUACUAAAUAGUGCGGGCGUUGCCUUUGCGCCCUUGCACUUCUUAGAGGGAUUGGCUGCGUCUAGCGGCACGAAACGGAGCAAUAACAGGUCUGUGAUGCCCUUAGAUGUCCUGGGCUGCACGCGCGCUACACUGGCAAAGGCAGCGUGCUUGUCCUGCGCCGAAAGGCGUGGGUAAACCAUUGAAAAUUUGCCGUGAUUGGGAUCGGAAAUUGCAAUUAUUUUCCGUGAACGAGGAAUUCCUAGUAAGUGCGAGUCAUCAGCUCGCGUUGAUUACGUCCCUGCCCCUUUGUACACACCGCCCCGUCGCUGCCUAGAACUGAGCCAUUUCGA